CCUACGGGAGGCAGCAGUGAGGAAUAUUGGUCAAUGGGCGGGAGCCUGAACCAGCCAAGUCGCGUGAGGGAAGACGGUCCUAUGGAUUGUAACCCUCUUUAUGCGGGGCGCAAUGCCGGUCACGCGUGCCCGGAGGGAGAGUACCCGCAGAAUAAGCAUCGGCUAACUCCGUGCCAGCAGCCGCGGUAAUACGGAGGAUGCGAGCGUUAUCCGGAUUGAUUGGGUUUAAAGGGUGCGUAGGCGGAUUUUUAAGUCAGCGGUAAAAUGUCCGGGCUCAACCCGGGCCGGCCGUUGAAACUGGGGAUCUUGAGUGGGCGAGAAGUAUGCGGAAUGCGUGGUGUAGCAGUGAAAUGCGUAGAUAUCACGCAGAACUCCGAUUGCGGAGGCAGCAUACCGGCGCCCGACUGACGCUGAGGCACGAAAGCGUGGGGAUCGAACAGGAUUAGAUACCCGAGUAGUC
RNAcentral lists this ribosomal RNA (460 nucleotides) under uncultured bacterium. RNAcentral describes it as "partial 16S ribosomal RNA". It matches the Rfam family "Bacterial small subunit ribosomal RNA", at positions 338 to 795 of the family's 1533-position model. The record is from RNAcentral.